AGAGUUUGAUCCUGGCUCAGACGAACGCUGGCGGCGUGCUUAACACAUGCAAGUCGAACGAUGAAGCCUUUCGGGGUGGAUUAGUGGCGAACGGGUGAGUAACACGUGGGCAAUCUGCCCUUCACUCUGGGACAAGCCCUGGAAACGGGGUCUAAUACCGGAUAACACUCCUCUGGGCAUCCAGGGGGGUUGAAAGCUCCGGCGGUGAAGGAUGAGCCCGCGGCCUAUCAGCUUGUUGGUGAGGUAGUGGCUCACCAAGGCGACGACGGGUAGCCGGCCUGAGAGGGCGACCGGCCACACUGGGACUGAGACACGGCCCAGACUCCUACGGGAGGCAGCAGUGGGGAAUAUUGCACAAUGGGCGAAAGCCUGAUGCAGCGACGCCGCGUGAGGGAUGACGGCCUUCGGGUUGUAAACCUCUUUCAGCAGGGAAGAAGCGAAAGUGACGGUACCUGCAGAAGAAGCGCCGGCUAACUACGUGCCAGCAGCCGCGGUAAUACGUAGGGCGCAAGCGUUGUCCGGAAUUAUUGGGCGUAAAGAGCUCGUAGGCGGCUUGUCGCGUCGGUUGUGAAAGCCCGGGGCUUAACCCCGGGUCUGCAGUCGAUACGGGCAGGCUAGAGUGUGGUAGGGGAGAUCGGAAUUCCUGGUGUAGCGGUGAAAUGCGCAGAUAUCAGGAGGAACACCGGUGGCGAAGGCGGAUCUCUGGGCCAUUACUGACGCUGAGGAGCGAAAGCGUGGGGAGCGAACAGGAUUAGAUACCCUGGUAGUCCACGCCGUAAACGGUGGGAACUAGGUGUUGGCGACAUUCCACGUCGUCGGUGCCGCAGCUAACGCAUUAAGUCCCCGCCUGGGGAGUACGGCCGCAAGGCUAAAACUCAAAGGAAUUGACGG
This 891-nucleotide ribosomal RNA is filed under the name Streptomyces sp. RNAcentral describes it as "bacterial SSU rRNA". It matches the Rfam family "Bacterial small subunit ribosomal RNA", at positions 8 to 916 of the family's 1533-position model. Lineage: Bacteria; Bacillati; Actinomycetota; Actinomycetes; Kitasatosporales; Streptomycetaceae. The record is from RNAcentral.